UACCAGCACCCCGAGUGGUCGGGACGAUUAUUGGGCCUAAAGCAUCCGUAGCCGGUUUUACAAGUCCUCCGUUAAAUCCAGCUGCUUAACAGAUGGGCUGCGGAGGAUACUAUAAGACUAGGAGGCAAGAGAGGCAAGCGGUACUCAGUGGGUAGGGGUAAAAUCCGUUGAUCCAUUGAAGACCACCAGUGGCGAAGGCGGCUUGCCAGAAUGCGCUCGACGGUGAGGGAUGAAAGCUGGGGGAGCAAACCGG
This 253-nucleotide ribosomal RNA is filed under the name uncultured bacterium. Its description in RNAcentral is "partial 16S ribosomal RNA". It matches the Rfam family "Archaeal small subunit ribosomal RNA", at positions 474 to 727 of the family's 1478-position model. The record is from RNAcentral.